This 246-nucleotide ribosomal RNA is filed under the name uncultured Bacillota bacterium. RNAcentral describes it as "uncultured Firmicutes bacterium partial 16S ribosomal RNA". It matches the Rfam family "Bacterial small subunit ribosomal RNA", at positions 796 to 1041 of the family's 1533-position model. Lineage: Bacteria; Bacillati; Bacillota. The record is from RNAcentral.
CACACUGUAAACGAUGAAUGCUAGGUGUAGGGGGUAUCGACCCCUUCUGUGCCGGAGUAAACACAAUAAGCAUUCCGCCUGGGGAGUACGGUCGCAAGAUUAAAACUCAAAGGAAUUGACGGGGGCCCGCACAAGCAGCGGAGCAUGUGGUUUAAUUCGAAGCAACGCGAAGAACCUUACCAGGUCUUGACAUCCAGUAAAAACUGUAGAGAUACAGUGUGCUUUCGGGCAUACUGAGACAGGUGG